RNAcentral lists this ribosomal RNA (253 nucleotides) under uncultured bacterium. RNAcentral describes it as "partial 16S ribosomal RNA". It matches the Rfam family "Bacterial small subunit ribosomal RNA", at positions 524 to 776 of the family's 1533-position model. The record is from RNAcentral.
UACGGAGGGUGCAAGCGUUGUUCGGAAUUACUGGGCGUAAAGCGCGUGUAGGCGGCCUUCUAAGUCUGGUGUGAAAGCCCGGGGCUCACCCCCGGAAGUGCAUUGGAUACUGGAAGGCUGGAGUACCGGAGAGGAGGGUGGAAUUCCUGGUGCAGCGGUGAAAUGCGUAGAUAUCAGGAGGAACACCGGUGGCGAAGGCGGCCCUCUGGACGGAUACUGACGCUGAGACGCGAAAGCGUGGGGAGCAGCCAGG